This 253-nucleotide ribosomal RNA is filed under the name uncultured bacterium. Its description in RNAcentral is "partial 16S ribosomal RNA". It matches the Rfam family "Bacterial small subunit ribosomal RNA", at positions 524 to 776 of the family's 1533-position model. The record is from RNAcentral.
UACGUACGAGGCGAGCGUUAUCCGGAAUUACUGGGCGUAAAGCGCGCGCAGGCGGACCAUUAAGUUGGGCGUGAAAUCUCCCGGCCUAACUGGGAGGGGUCGCCCAAGACUGGUGGUCUUGAGGACAGCAGAGGUGGGUGGAAUUCCUGGUGUAGUGGUGAAAUGCGUAGAGAUCCGGAAGAACACCGGUGGCGAAGGCGGUCUGCUGGGCAGUUGCUGACGCUGAUGCGCGACAGCGUGGGGAUCAAACAGG